GGUGGUUUUCAAGUGACACACCCCAGAAUUGUGCUCCCUCCUCUCUGGUUCUGGGUUGCAUCACCUGAGAACCACC
Molecule: non-coding RNA, 76 nt
Organism: Myotis lucifugus (little brown bat)
Lineage: Eukaryota; Metazoa; Chordata; Mammalia; Chiroptera; Vespertilionidae
Source: Rfam